GAUGAACGCUGGCGGCGUGCCUAAUACAUGCAAGUCGAGCGAACGGACGAGAAGCUUGCUUCUCUGAUGUUAGCGGCGGACGGGCGAGUAACACGUGGAUAACCUACCUAUAAGACUGGGAUAACUUCGGGAAACCGUAGCUAAUACCGGAUAAUAUUUUGAACCGCAUGGUUCAAAAGUGAAAGACGGUCUUGCUGUCACUUAUAGAUGGGUCCGCGCUGCAUUAGCUAGUUGGUAAGGUAACGGCUUACCAAGGCAACGAUGCAUAGCCGACCUGAGAGGGUGAUCGGCCACACUGGAACUGAGACACGGUCCAGACUCCUACGGGAGGCAGCAGUAGGGAAUCUUCCGCAAUGGGCGAAAGCCUGACGGAGCAACGCCGCGUGAGUGAUGAAGGUCCUCGGAUCGUAAAACUCUGUUAUUAGGGAAGAACAUAUGUGUAAGUAACUGUGCACAUCUUGACGGUACCUAAUCAGAAAGCCACGGCUAACUACGUG
RNAcentral lists this ribosomal RNA (497 nucleotides) under uncultured bacterium. Its description in RNAcentral is "partial 16S ribosomal RNA". It matches the Rfam family "Bacterial small subunit ribosomal RNA", at positions 28 to 507 of the family's 1533-position model. The record is from RNAcentral.